Small nucleolar RNA from Cynara cardunculus var. scolymus (artichoke), 80 nucleotides. RefSeq annotates it as small nucleolar RNA J33. The transcript has a single exon. The record is from RefSeq and is a predicted model, not a curated record. NCBI's taxonomy places the organism in Eukaryota, Viridiplantae, Streptophyta, Magnoliopsida, Asterales, Asteraceae.
CGGUGAGGGGAAUGAUGUAUUACUAUCGGGCACUAAAGAUGCUCGCUUUUCUCGAUUCCGCUUCCGAGAUCGACAUUCGG